AUUGAACGCUGGCGGCAGGCCUAACACAUGCAAGUCGAACGGUAACAGGAAGAAUCUUGCUUCUUUGCUGACGAGUGGCGGACGGGUGAGCAAUGUCUUGGAAACUGCCUGAUGGAGGGUGAUAACUACUGGAAACGGUAGCUAAUACCGCAUAACGUCGCAAGACCAAAGAGGGGGACCUUCGUGCCUCUUGCCAUCGGGUGUGCCCAGAUGGGAUUAACUAGUAGGAGGGGUAACGGCUCACCUAGGCGACGAUCCCUAGCUGGUCUGAGAGGAUGACCCGCCACACUGGAACUGAGACACGGUCCAGACUCCUACGGGAGGCAGCAGUGGGGAAUAUUGCGCAAUGGGCGCAAGCCUGAUGCAGCCAUGCCACGUGUAUGAAGAAGGCCUUCGGGUUGUAAAGUACUUUCAGCGGGGAGGAAGGGAGUAAAGUUAAUCCCUUUGCUCAUUGACGUUACCCGCAGAAGAAGCACCGGCUAACUCCGUG
Molecule: ribosomal RNA, 490 nt
Filed under: uncultured bacterium
Lineage: Bacteria
Description: partial 16S ribosomal RNA
Rfam family: Bacterial small subunit ribosomal RNA
Source: RNAcentral